Molecule: ribosomal RNA, 470 nt
Filed under: uncultured bacterium
Lineage: Bacteria
Description: bacterial SSU rRNA
Rfam family: Bacterial small subunit ribosomal RNA
Source: RNAcentral
GAUGAACGCUGGCGGCGUGCUUAACACAUGCAAGUCGAGCGAAGCACUAAAGCGGAUUUCUUCGGAUUGAAGGUUUAGUGACUGAGCGGCGGACGGGUGAGUAACGCGUGGGUAACCUGCCUCAUACAGGGGGAUAACAGUUGGAAACGGCUGCUAAUACCGCAUAAGCGCACAGUACCGCAUGGUACGGUGUGAAAAACUCCGGUGGUAUGAGAUGGACCCGCGUCUGAUUAGGUAGUUGGUGGGGUAACGGCCUACCAAGCCGACGAUCAGUAGCCGACCUGAGAGGGUGACCGGCCACAUUGGGACUGAGACACGGCCCAAACUCCUACGGGAGGCAGCAGUGGGGAAUAUUGCACAAUGGGGGAAACCCUGAUGCAGCGACGCCGCGUGAGCGAAGAAGUAUUUCGGUAUGUAAAGCUCUAUCAGCAGGGAAGAAAAUGACGGUACCKACUAAGAGUCCGYUUUCC